AGGCGAGACCGCGAGGUGGAGCAAAUCUCAAAAAGCCGUCCCAGUUCGGAUCGCAGGCUGCAACCCGCCUGCGUGAAGUUGGAAUCGCUAGUAAUCGCGGAUCAGCAUGCCGCGGUGAAUACGUUCCCGGGCCUUGUACACACCGCCCGUCACACCAUGGGAGCCGGUAAUACCCGAAGUCAGUAGCCUAACCGCAAGGGGGGCGCUGCCGAAGGUAGGAUUGGCGACUGGGGUGAAGUCGUAACAAGGUAGC
This 253-nucleotide ribosomal RNA is filed under the name uncultured bacterium. Its description in RNAcentral is "partial 16S ribosomal RNA". It matches the Rfam family "Bacterial small subunit ribosomal RNA", at positions 1247 to 1500 of the family's 1533-position model. The record is from RNAcentral.